CACCCUCCUGAAACUUGCUUACCCUUACAGUGUUUUGGGUGACAGUCACAUGAGCUGACAUAUGUGGAAGGUGCUUUGUAAGCUGGGAAGAGGCCUGUGCGUGCAGGAAAGCAUGCUCCGUUGUGUGAAAGUGAUAGAUGGGUGACUGUGUGCACUUGUGGGCAGAGUUCGCAAGAGUGCAGGGAACGGGAGCUUUCAACACGGCUAUGAAGACAGUGCUCGCUCUCUUCCCUGGCCCCUCAACCGUGUCAGGACCGAUUUCUCGUGUUGGCCAGAGAUGGGAUGGAAGAGAUGGCAGAAGAGGUGAGGCAUGAGGAGGACUCCCGCCACCAUUGCUGGCUUUGAAGAUGAAGAGGCCCACAAGCCAAAGAGUGUGGUGUGGCUUUUAGAAGCUGAGGACAACACUAGCCCAACAGCCAGCAAGGAAAUGGGGGCCUCAGUCCUGUAAAUGCAUGGACCUAAAUUCUGCCGACAGCCUGCAUGAGCCAGCGAUUACGUUCUCCCCCAGAGCCUUCAGGAAGGAAAGCAGUCCUGCCACCGUGGUUUUAGCCUGGUUUCAGUAAAUACUCCCCCACACGUUUGGAAGUGGAUUUUGUAAUGAGCCUGUGAGACGUGGAGGUGAGGAUGCAAAAGAAGUUGAGCAUCAGUCAAGGCAAGUGCUAAUUGCUUGUUCCUUGGUCUCUCCUACUACAGAGAACACUAUGACAGUUAUU
Long non-coding RNA from Prionailurus viverrinus (fishing cat), 713 nucleotides. RefSeq lists it as uncharacterized. NCBI's taxonomy places the organism in Eukaryota, Metazoa, Chordata, Mammalia, Carnivora, Felidae. The record is from RefSeq and is a predicted model, not a curated record. The transcript is spliced from 4 exons.